UGGGGAAUAUUGGACAAUGGGCGCAAGCCUGAUCCAGCCACGCCGCGUGAGUGAUGAAGGCCUUCGGGUCGUAAAGCUCUGUGGGGAGGGACGAACCGCCGGCGGUGCAUAGCCGACGGCAUGACGGUACCUCCUUAGCAAGCACCGGCUAACUUCGUGCCAGCAGCCGCGGUAAUACGAAGGGUGCAAACGUUGCUCGGAAUCAUUGGGCGUAAAGCGCACGUAGGCGGCUUGCCAAGUCGGACGUGAAAUCCCUCAGCUCAACUGAGGACGUGCAUCCGAAACUGGCGAGCUUGAGUACUGAAGAGGAUCGCGGAAUUCCCGGUGUAGAGGUGAAAUUCGUAGAUAUCGGGAGGAACACCAGUGGCGAAGGCGGCGAUCUGGGCAGAUACUGACGCUG
Molecule: ribosomal RNA, 400 nt
Filed under: uncultured bacterium
Lineage: Bacteria
Description: bacterial SSU rRNA
Rfam family: Bacterial small subunit ribosomal RNA
Source: RNAcentral